GGGUCUUUAAAGUAAACCCUUCAUAGAUAUGAGUCUAUGAAGAAAGCCCUUCAGAGAUAUGGGUUCUUGAAGAAGACCAUUGAUCAUAGCUAUGGAUUCUUGAAGAAAACCCUCUUUUCUUUUUCUAUUUUUUGACAUAUAACCUUUUCUUUUUCAACUUCUUUGUUCAACUGGAUCAUGUUUUAAGUUUCUUGUUCUAUCAUUAAACCUAAUCACUAUAUGUAGCUUAACCUUCCACUUUUAUUUUCUUGCUGGAGAAAUGAAAGCAGAUCUCAAAAAAAGAAAGUGGUUUAUGGGCCCCUUGAUGGUUUGAGAAUCUUGAUGAUGCUGCAGCGGCAAUUGCUGGCUAAUUAUGAUCUUUAAAACUGGAUUAUGGUGUUGCAGUCAUAUAAGAAAAAGCAAAUCUCACCUGGUGAAUUGAUGAGUGUGUCUGUACUCUGAACAUGAGUGGAUUAGCAACUUGUACUGUACAACAGGAUAUCAUGGGAUGCUUUUGAAGAGAUACCAUUAGGUGUUGCAGGAUAUCAUGAUGGUCUACUUUGUGUUCUUGGAUUUGCUAUGUGAAGAGAUCCCAUUACUAGAUUUUAAUUGUCAUUGUUUAUAUCUUUAACUAGCUACAACUAGUUUUUUUUUACUGUUAUUAAUUAUAUUAUUAGGGUUAG
Molecule: long non-coding RNA, 662 nt
Filed under: Helianthus annuus (common sunflower)
Lineage: Eukaryota; Viridiplantae; Streptophyta; Magnoliopsida; Asterales; Asteraceae
Source: RNAcentral